This 374-nucleotide ribosomal RNA is filed under the name uncultured organism. Its description in RNAcentral is "partial 16S ribosomal RNA". It matches the Rfam family "Bacterial small subunit ribosomal RNA", at positions 527 to 896 of the family's 1533-position model. The record is from RNAcentral.
GUAGGUGGCAAGCGUUGUCCGGAAUUAUUGGGCGUAAAGCGCGCGCAGGCGGCUCUUUAAGUCUGAUGUGAAAGCCCACGGCUCAACCGUGGAGGGUCAUUGGAAACUGGAGAACUUGAGUACAGAAGAGGAAAGCGGAAUUCCACGUGUAGCGGUGAAAUGCGUAGAGAUGUGGGGGAACACCAGUGGCGAAGGCGGCUUUCUGGUCUGUAACUGACGCUGAGGCGCGAAAGCGUGGGGAGCAAACAGGGAUUAGAUACCCUGGUAGUCCACGCCGUAAACGAUGAGUGCUAAGUGUUAGGGGGGUUUCCGCCCCCUUAGUGCUGCAGCUAACGCAUUAAGCACUCCGCCUGGGGAGUACGGCCGCAAGGCUG